UUAAGCGACUAAGCGUACACGGUGGAUGCCCUGGCAGUCAGAGGCGAUGAAGGACGUGCUAAUCUGCGAUAAGCGUCGGUGAGGUGAUAUGAACCGUUAUAACCGGCGAUUUCCGAAUGGGGAAACCCAGUGUGUUUCGACACACUAUCAUUAACUGAAUCCAUAGGUUAAUGAGGCGAACCGGGGGAACUGAAACAUCUAAGUACCCCGAGGAAAAGAAAUCAACCGAGAUUCCCCCAGUAGCGGCGAGCGAACGGGGAGGAGCCCAGAGCCUGAAUCAGUGUGUGUGUUAGUGGAAGCGUCUGGAAAGGCGCGCGAUACAGGGUGACAGCCCCGUACACAAAAAUGCACAUAUUGUGAGCUCGAUGAGUAGGGCGGGACACGUGGUAUCCUGUCUGAAUAUGGGGGGACCAUCCUCCAAGGCUAAAUACUCCUGACUGACCGAUAGUGAACCAGUACCGUGAGGGAAAGGCGAAAAGAACCCCGGCGAGGGGAGUGAAAAAGAACCUGAAACCGUGUACGUACAAGCAGUGGGAGCCUCUUAAUGGGGUGACUGCGUACCUUUUGUAUAAUGGGUCAGCGACUUAUAUUCUGUAGCAAGGUUAACCGAAUAGGGGAGCCGAAGGGAAACCGAGUCUUAACUGGGCGUUAAGUUGCAGGGUAUAGACCCGAAACCCGGUGAUCUAGCCAUGGGCAGGUUGAAGGUUGGGUAACACUAACUGGAGGACUGAACCGACUAAUGUUGAAAAAUUAGCGGAUGACUUGUGGCUGGGGGUGAAAGGCCAAUCAAACCGGGAGAUAGCUGGUUCUCCCCGAAAGCUAUUUAGGUAGCGCCUCGUGAAUUCAUCUCCGGGGGUAGAGCACUGUUUCGGCAAGGGGGUCAUCCCGACUUACCAACCCGAUGCAAACUGCGAAUACCGGAGAAUGUUAUCACGGGAGACACACGGCGGGUGCUAACGUCCGUCGUGAAGAGGGAAACAACCCAGACCGCCAGCUAAGGUCCCAAAGUCAUGGUUAAGUGGGAAACGAUGUGGGAAGGCCCAGACAGCCAGGAUGUUGGCUUAGAAGCAGCCAUCAUUUAAAGAAAGCGUAAUAGCUCACUGGUCGAGUCGGCCUGCGCGGAAGAUGUAACGGGGCUAAACCAUGCACCGAAGCUGCGGCAGCGACACUAUGUGUUGUUGGGUAGGGGAGCGUUCUGUAAGCCUGUGAAGGUGUCCUGUGAGGUUUGCUGGAGGUAUCAGAAGUGCGAAUGCUGACAUAAGUAACGAUAAAGCGGGUGAAAAGCCCGCUCGCCGGAAGACCAAGGGUUCCUGUCCAACGUUAAUCGGGGCAGGGUGAGUCGACCCCUAAGGCGAGGCCGAAAGGCGUAGUCGAUGGGAAACAGGUUAAUAUUCCUGUACUUGGUGUUACUGCGAAGGGGGGACGGAGAAGGCUAUGUUGGCCGGGCGACGGUUGUCCCGGUUUAAGCGUGUAGGCUGGUUUUCCAGGCAAAUCCGGAAAAUCAAGGCUGAGGCGUGAUGACGAGGCACUACGGUGCUGAAGCGACAAAUGCCCUGCUUCCAGGAAAAGCCUCUAAGCAUCAGGUAACAUCAAAUCGUACCCCAAACCGACACAGGUGGUCAGGUAGAGAAUACCAAGGCGCUUGAGAGAACUCGGGUGAAGGAACUAGGCAAAAUGGUGCCGUAACUUCGGGAGAAGGCACGCUGAUAUGUAGGUGAAGCGACUUGCUCGUGGAGCUGAAAUCAGUCGAAGAUACCAGCUGGCUGCAACUGUUUAUUAAAAACACAGCACUGUGCAAACACGAAAGUGGACGUAUACGGUGUGACGCCUGCCCGGUGCCGGAAGGUUAAUUGAUGGGGUUAGCGGUAACGCGAAGCUCUUGAUCGAAGCCCCGGUAAACGGCGGCCGUAACUAUAACGGUCCUAAGGUAGCGAAAUUCCUUGUCGGGUAAGUUCCGACCUGCACGAAUGGCGUAAUGAUGGCCAGGCUGUCUCCACCCGAGACUCAGUGAAAUUGAACUCGCUGUGAAGAUGCAGUGUACCCGCGGCAAGACGGAAAGACCCCGUGAACCUUUACUAUAGCUUGACACUGAACAUUGAGCCUUGAUGUGUAGGAUAGGUGGGAGGCUUUGAAGUGUGGACGCCAGUCUGCAUGGAGCCGACCUUGAAAUACCACCCUUUAAUGUUUGAUGUUCUAACGUGGGCCCCUUACCGGGGUUGCGGACAGUGUCUGGUGGGUAGUUUGACUGGGGCGGUCUCCUCCUAAAGAGUAACGGAGGAGCACGAAGGUUGGCUAAUCCUGGUCGGACAUCAGGAGGUUAGUGCAAUGGCAUAAGCCAGCUUGACUGCGAGCGUGACGGCGCGAGCAGGUGCGAAAGCAGGUCAUAGUGAUCCGGUGGUUCUGAAUGGAAGGGCCAUCGCUCAACGGAUAAAAGGUACUCCGGGGAUAACAGGCUGAUACCGCCCAAGAGUUCAUAUCGACGGCGGUGUUUGGCACCUCGAUGUCGGCUCAUCACAUCCUGGGGCUGAAGUAGGUCCCAAGGGUAUGGCUGUUCGCCAUUUAAAGUGGUACGCGAGCUGGGUUUAGAACGUCGUGAGACAGUUCGGUCCCUAUCUGCCGUGGGCGCUGGAGAACUGAGGGGGGCUGCUCCUAGUACGAGAGGACCGGAGUGGACGCAUCACUGGUGUUCGGGUUGUCAUGCCAAUGGCACUGCCCGGUAGCUAAAUGCGGAAGAGAUAAGUGCUGAAAGCAUCUAAGCACGAAACUUGCCCCGAGAUGAGUUCUCCCUGACUCCUUGAGAGUCCUGAAGGAACGUUGAAGACGACGACGUUGAUAGGCCGGGUGUGUAAGCGCAGCGAUGCGUUGAGCUAACCGGUACUAAUGAACCGUGAGGCUUAACCUU
RNAcentral lists this ribosomal RNA (2902 nucleotides) under Escherichia coli. Its description in RNAcentral is "bacterial LSU rRNA". It matches the Rfam family "Bacterial large subunit ribosomal RNA". The record is from RNAcentral. Lineage: Bacteria; Pseudomonadati; Pseudomonadota; Gammaproteobacteria; Enterobacterales; Enterobacteriaceae.